Molecule: unclassified non-coding RNA, 200 nt
Filed under: Cryptococcus sp. (in: basidiomycete fungi)
Lineage: Eukaryota; Fungi; Basidiomycota; Tremellomycetes; Tremellales; Cryptococcaceae
Description: Cryptococcus sp. partial internal transcribed spacer 2
Source: RNAcentral
UUAAGUUCAGCGGGUAGUCCUACCUGAUUUGAGGUCAGAGUCAGAAGAUUGUCCGAAGACGAUUAGGAGCGAACAAGAGUUGCUGUCUAACGAAACUUAUUACGCUAGAGGUUCACAAUUGCCUCGCUAACAUUUUUUAAGGCGAGCCAGUGGCAGCACCCAAGUCAAUCACUAAGAAACCUUAGAGAUUGAUGAUUUCA